CUCCCUCAAACUGAAGAUUUCUCUCAAAUCUCUUUUUCCAUCGAUUUUCACCCUUCAAAUCACCCGUUUAGGAACCAACUUUCUCUCCUCUUUCUUCCUCAUUUGGAUGGUUCGAGCUUGCCCUAGAUUCUACCUCUCUUCUCUAAAUCGGUGCUUCACCUCUCCAAAAUCUUGGCUUUUCCACUAGAAUCUUUUUCUCUCUACCUUAUUUAGUCUCCUAAACUCC
RNAcentral lists this long non-coding RNA (226 nucleotides) under Elaeis guineensis (African oil palm). RNAcentral describes it as "long non-coding RNA (EGUI_LNC077251)". The record is from RNAcentral. Lineage: Eukaryota; Viridiplantae; Streptophyta; Magnoliopsida; Arecales; Arecaceae.